Molecule: ribosomal RNA, 440 nt
Filed under: Pleurodonte sp. N MS-2014
Lineage: Eukaryota; Metazoa; Mollusca; Gastropoda; Stylommatophora; Pleurodontidae
Description: partial 16S ribosomal RNA
Rfam family: Archaeal large subunit ribosomal RNA
Source: RNAcentral
UACUAUGUGCGUUUUACACCUAGCUUGCUCUGCUCAAUGAACACUUAAAUAGCCGCAGUACCCUGACUGUGCAAAGGUAGCAUAAUCAGUUGGCUCAUGAUUGGAGUCUUGUAUGAAUGAGUGAAUGGGUACAGCCUGUCUCCGAGUGAUCUAUGGAAGUUUUUGAGUAAGUGCAAAUGCUUACAACUAACUAAAAGACGAGAAGACCCUAGAAAUUUUUUACAAAAAACGUAUAACAGCGAUCUCGUAUUUUGCUGGGGCGGCAGAGUAACACUAUAGUAACUUACUUAAUAAAUUCAACUUUUUUUUACAGUUAAACUACAAUUACUCUAGGGAUAACAGCGUAAUUCUUUAGAGCUUGCGACCUCGAUGUUGGACUAUGGAGAAAAGUACGCAGAAGGUAUUUUUCCACGUUCUGUUCGAACGGUGUUCCUUACAUG